GUUGUAAACUCUCAAAGCAAACAACUCCCAGGUGUUGAUGCUCUGCCGAUGACACACACACACACACACCCCUCCCGUCCUUCCAGCAUGACUGCACACAGACCCCACCCUAAGGACAGAGUCAGCCUGAACAUCACCACAAAACGGAACAAUAAAACCAACGAGAAUUUUCUUUCACACCAUCAGCACACUUCAGUGGAUCCUCCCUGCUCACACUGCUGAGAACAGUGCAUUGAAUGAGCCCCUCAUCCACCUCCCCUAUCGAAUGGGUUUUUCACCUGCAUGCCCACAGUUGUUUCCUGAGGUUUCUGAACACACCCUGUCUGGUAGCCGGGUGACGAAGCUAGGCGGGAGAUCUCUCAAUUACCCGCACCUGCAUCUCAUCAGCCAUCUGCACACCUGGUCCUGAUCAUCACCUCUUCUCUUCAUAAGCUCUGACCUGACAUCCAUUCCCCGCUGGAUCGUUAGCAAUGAACAUCAUUCUCCCGGAACAUUCACCCACCCGCCUGGUCGUCGGUGGCUUCUGUGACAUCAUUGGAUCUGCCUAUUCACUCUCAUCAACUCACCUCUGCUGCCGCUCCGUCUCCUGGAUUAUUCUGUUUUCACCUUGACUCUCGGAUACUGCUGUUGAAGGGGUGACGCGCAGCAUCCUCUCUACAAUAAUGAAC
RNAcentral lists this long non-coding RNA (668 nucleotides) under Salmo salar (Atlantic salmon). RNAcentral's name for it is "lncRNA (ENSSSAG00000086866.1)". Lineage: Eukaryota; Metazoa; Chordata; Actinopteri; Salmoniformes; Salmonidae. The record is from RNAcentral.